AUUGAGACUGCUGUUUGUACAGCAAAAAGGUUGUGGAAUAAGAAUGAGCUACUAAGAAACAGGAAACUCUUGAAACCACCCGGUCCCAGCACUGCCUGUGUGGCUACCUGCCCGUGGGUCAGUGGCCCCCCUCCAGCGAUGGAUCCAGAAGCAAGCCCAAGCAGCUACCUAGUUCUCUUGGACUGGGGGCUGUCUCUGGUACUCUCUCUACUGGCAGGAUGCUGCCAACCCAAUGUGCAUGGGUUUAAUUGCAAUGGAGUAAUAGUCCUGGGGAGAUGUCCCUUAACUGUAGCCCUAUCACAAGGUAUCUGCCUGUAGCCCCAUGGUGGAUGUCUGUCUGCAGCCCCAUUGCAGGGUGUCUGGAUUGAUGAGUAUCCUAGGCACUGCCAACGCUGACUUCCUUCUCCUGACUGGUUCUGUAGCCCUGUGGUGGGGUGUCUGUAGCCCCAUUGUGGGGCAUCUGUUUGUGGCUCCACCAUGGGGUCUCUGUGUCUGUAGCCCCACUGAGGGGUGUCUGUUCAGCUCCUGUGAGGGUCUCAGUUGGCUCUUUCUAACUAGUAGGAAGAGUCCUGGUUCGGGAGACUUCUCCUCAAUCAGGAAGAUUUCAAGGAGGUUUCUCAGAUGGAGAAUAGGAGGACAGUUUGGAAGGGAUACUCUCGGAGUUCUUGGUUAGGGAUCUGAUUUGGAAGGCCUUCUGUCCAUCUCAUCUUUGUGUGUGUUUGUACAUGUGAAAGGGAUCUCAGAAGGGGUUGCUGAUGGAAGUCCAGCAGGCCCAACUCAGAGAACCCUCCUUAUUUGUCUGGUCACAUUCAAUGAGCCCUAAAGGAGGCUCAACAAGGUGACUAUCUCUUCUUUGCCUUGCCCAGAGACCCCAACUGUGAAUUACCAUUCGGAGGUCGUCCCUCCCCACCUAGAGUGGAUCAAAGACAACAGGGACCAACGGGAAGAAGUUUGAGCUUUGCUAGGUUGAUUAUGGGUGCUGAACGAGUGGCUUGAAACCCACAUCUAUAGCACAAGCAAGCAGGGGCAUCAGAAGCCACUCCGUUCUUCUGGAAGCUGCAGAGAAAGGGAACCCGGAAACCUGAUAUGCCAGCAAAAAGGGACAAGAACCCGGAACUUGCUGAACCACAGGAGCUAAAGGGCUGUAAUGCUCUUGCUCACCUAGCUAUGGGUGGCAGGAGUAAAAGAGCUGUAACAUUCCCUCCCACUCACUGAGCUAUGGAAGUGAAGAGGCCGCUGGAUGCCACUCCUUUCUGCUCACUGAGCUACAGAAGUGAAGAGGCCACUGGGUGCCACUCCCUCCUGCUUGCUGAACUACAGGAGUGAAAAAUCUGAUGGCCUAAACAACACACAUUUAUUAUCUUACAGCUGUGGAGAUCAGAAGUGUGGAGUCCUGAGAAGGUGAGCAGUUGAAGGCCUGAACAUAAAAAAGACUGACCAACCUUCCUCUACCUAGAAGGAAUUCUGCCGGCAGCCUGUUUCUGGACUCAAACUGCAGCUCUUCCCUGGGUCUCCAGCCUACCCUAUCAGAUUUUAGAAGCACAAAGUCUCCACAAUCAUGUAAGCAAAUUUCUUUUCUUUUCUUUUCUUUAACAGUUUUCACUCUUGUUGCCCAGGCUGAAGUGCAAUGGUGCGGUCUUGGCUCAUAGCAGCCUCCACCUCCUGAGUUUGAGCAAUUCUCCUACCUCAGCCUCCCAAGUAGCUGGGAUUACAGGCACCUGCCACCACACCUGGCUAAUUUUUGUAUUUUUAGUAGAGACGGGGUUUCACCAUGUUGGCCAGGCUGUUCAUGAACUCCUGACAUCAGGUGAUCCACCCACCUUGGCCUCCCAAAGUGCUGGGAUUACAAGGGUGAGCCAUCACACCCAGCCUAACCAAAUUUCUUAAAGUAUAUCUCCAAGUCUGUACAUAGAUACACAUCCUCUUGUUUUUUAUUCUCUGUAGAACCCUGACUAAUAUAGGGCCCUUGUGAUUAUAGUGAGCUCACCCAGAUAAUCCAGAACAAUCUCCCUAUCUCAAGACUCUUCUUUUGGGCUGGGAGUGGUGGCUCAUGCCUGUAAUCCUAGCAAGGCAGGGGCAAGAGGAUCACUUGAGCUCAAGAGUUCAAGACCAGCCUGGGC
RNAcentral lists this long non-coding RNA (2120 nucleotides) under Homo sapiens (human). Its description in RNAcentral is "HSALNT0121891". The record is from RNAcentral. Lineage: Eukaryota; Metazoa; Chordata; Mammalia; Primates; Hominidae.